UACGUAGGUGGCAAGCGUUAUCCGGAUUUAUUGGGCGUAAAGGGAACGCAGGCGGUCUUUUAAGUCUGAUGUGAAAGCCUUCGGCUUAACCGGAGUAGUGCAUUGGAAACUGGGAGACUUGAGUGCAGAAGAGGAGAGUGGAACUCCAUGUGUAGCGGUGAAAUGCGUAGAUAUAUGGAAGAACUCCGAUUGCGAAGGCAGCUCACUGGACUGCAACUGACACUGAGGCUCGAAAGUGUGGGUAUCAAACAGG
Molecule: ribosomal RNA, 253 nt
Filed under: uncultured Lactobacillus sp.
Lineage: Bacteria; Bacillati; Bacillota; Bacilli; Lactobacillales; Lactobacillaceae
Description: partial 16S ribosomal RNA
Rfam family: Bacterial small subunit ribosomal RNA
Source: RNAcentral